Non-coding RNA from Leptonychotes weddellii (Weddell seal), 2801 nucleotides. Lineage: Eukaryota; Metazoa; Chordata; Mammalia; Carnivora; Phocidae. The record is from RefSeq and is a predicted model, not a curated record.
GUUGCAAGCCGGGGAAGUGGACCACCGGGGGCCCAGCUCCGUGUAUUCCCGGGCUGCUGGACUACAUUUCCCAGAGGCCCGUGCGCCGCCCAGUCCCCAGAGUCGGAGCGUAGCGAGGUGCCUGCUGGGAGAGGUUUACUGAGCCGAGGAUUGUCUGGGCUCAGCAUCCCGCGGCCCCGGUCCCGAGUUGACCUCAAGCCUUGCGCCCCGUCCUCACGCCCUGUGGGUCGUGGGGCCCCGAGCGGCCAGCCGUCCUCCGGAACAAGCAUCCUGGAGAGGAAGACGCUUGUUACGCAUCUUAAAGUCAAGUGACUAAUUCUUUCCGGAGAGGUGUGAUGGGGCCGUGCAGGUGUCUGCAGAGAACACAGAACAGAAGAAUGCGGUGGGGAGGUUCGUGUUGUGCUUUAUUUCAGCCUGUGAUUUGGUCAGGAGGAUACUUGUCUUUAGGUGGGAUCCGCAGUCUUGCCCACCGGCCUGACUUUCAGAGCACAGUGAGAACAGAGAAGGUUUGAUUGUUUUGGCCAGUAAAUGACAAAGUUACCAGCUUGGUGAUGCUUUUAAAAGUGGGGUUUGAGGGCCGUCCUGCUGGCCUAGUCCGUAGAGUGUGCAGCUCUUAGGAAAUGUGCUGCUGGAGCGAGCACUAGAGCGUGCAGCUCUUGAUCCCGGGGUCGUGAGUUCCAGCCCCACGUUCGCCAUGGAGCCUACUUAAAAUUUAAAAAAAAAAAAAAAAAGUAAAAUUCAAAGGAAUUGAGCCAUUAUUUUGAUAAGUAAAUAAAUAAAAGUGGGGUUUGAGCAAAGGGCUUUGUCAUUAAAGGCAGGGAUUUUUUUUUCAGUGAUCAGUAGAAAUCUGUUGUAUUAUCCACAUCUUGUCGGAAGUGUGACAGCUUCAGUCUGUUUCAGUUGCAUUUUUGUAUGAACUGCAAGAAGCAACAUGGUUUGAUGUUGAGUGAGUUCUGGAACUAGAGCAGAGGGUUUGGCAGUUUCUAAAAGGUCAUAUAUUGAAUAGUUCGUGCUUUGUGGGCUACAUAUGGUUCCAUAUUCUUCUUGUUUAAUUGAUCUUGUUACUGUUUAGGAUGGUUUUAGAUUUGCAGAAAAAAAUCGCGAAGUUAGUACAGAGAAUUCCCAGGUACCCUGUACCCACUGUCCCCUAUUAUUAACAACUUACAUUAGUAUGGGAUGUUAUUUACAGUUGGUGAGCCAAUUCUGAUACAUUGUCAUUAACUGAAGUCCACGCUUUAUUCAGAUUUCCUUAGUUUUUACAGUAACAUUCUUCAUGUGUUCCAGGAUGCCAUCCCGGAGAUCACAUUACAUUUCAUUGUCGUGUGUCCUUAAGCUUCUCUUGGCUGUGACAGUUUCUCAGACUUCCCUUGUUUCUGAUGACUUUGAAGGUUUUAAGAGGUACAGGUAUUUGGUAGGAUGCCCCUCUCUUGGAACCUGAUGCUUUUCUCGUGAUUGGACUGGGUUUAUGGUUUUGGGGGUGGAAGAUCACUACUUUUAUCCUAUCAUGGCAAGAACACAAACUGUCAGCAUGAUUUAUGAUUGCUGAGUGUGAACUUGAUCGUUUGGCUGAGGUGGUUUGUCCGUUUUCUCUACUGUGAGCUUACUCCCAUUUUUCAAAGACUGGGUCUCCCCAAGUGACAGCUGUGUGUUUCAGAAGCCCUGUUACUAGAGCCUAGUCAGUCUGAUCCUGCUUUGGUGGUCACGUCUUUCUCUCUUCUCACCCCCUCAUUUGCUUGUAAGGACCCCCACAAUUACUUUGGGCCCACCUGGCAUAAUUCAGGAUACCUUCCUAUCUUGAGGUCAGCUGAUGAGCGACCCCAAGUCCACCUGCAACCUAACUGCCCUUUGCCAUGUAACGUAACAUAGUCACAGGCUCCAGGGUUAGGAUACAGAUGUGUUUGGGAGGCAGUUGUCCUGCCUGCCACAGGCCUAUCCAUCCACAGUUCCCCUGAUGACCGAAAUAUACCCACUGCCCCAUAACUGUGGACUUUUUCUUUGUUGAUUUGUUUUAAAUUUGGGACUAGCUUAAAUUAUAUUUCUUAUCAUGGAAUUAAUAUAGGCCUGCAGCAAAAGGUUCAGCUUCCUAAGGAGCUCGUAAAGAAGAAACUCGAAAUUACCCAUAGCUGUACCAUCCAGAGAUAAUUGCUGUUGAUAUUUUGAAACCCCAAGAGGACUGAUCAGUUCUUGAUUCUAAAACUAUGGCGCACGGUUUGGUGACGUUCUCAGAUGUAGCCAUCGACUUCUCUCAGGAGGAGUGGGCAUGCCUGGACUCCACGCAGAGGGAUCUGUACUGGGAUGUGAUGUUGGAGAACUACAGUAACCUGGUCUCCCUGGGUGAGUUGCCUGCCCCCUGGAAUGUCAGCUGCCUCCACUGGGAAUGUCAGGACUGACUUCCAAGAAACGAAUUCCUUCCUCUUCUCAAGAAGUGUCUUGAGCCUUGUCGCAUCUAAAAUGGGCACCUCGCACCUUCAUCUCCUUGUCCUCUUCCCACCUUUGUCUGGCCCUUCCUGUAAUCAUCUCUCCUCCUUAGUGAGCAAAGGGUGAAUUCAAAUUCUGGGCUGUUUACUUCACACCCAUCCUCAAGGAGCUGAGCUUCAUACUAUGAUAGUAUGUUCAUGCCCAGACUGCUACUGAUGGCCUGUGGUACUCUGGGGACCCCCCCUUCAGGGAACUUGACUUCCUUCAGUAAGCCAGCCUGUGUUUGAUGUGGAUUGAAUGGACAGCAUUCACGUAAAACCAAAGCAAGCAUUGUACCUGAAGUGAGGUUGAAAGUUACAAUUCCUGGGCGCCUGGGUGGCUCA